RNAcentral lists this ribosomal RNA (372 nucleotides) under uncultured organism. Its description in RNAcentral is "partial 16S ribosomal RNA". It matches the Rfam family "Bacterial small subunit ribosomal RNA", at positions 527 to 896 of the family's 1533-position model. The record is from RNAcentral.
GUAGGUGGCAAGCGUUGUCCGGAAUUAUUGGGCGUAAAGCGCGCGCAGGCGGUCCUUUAAGUCUGAUGUGAAAGCCCACGGCUCAACCGUGGAGGGUCAUUGGAAACUGGAGAACUUGAGUACAGAAGAGGAAAGCGGAAUUCCACGUGUAGCGGUGAAAUGCGUAGAGAUGUGGAGGAACACCAGUGGCGAAGGCGGCUUUCUGGUCUGUAACUGACGCUGAGGCGCGAAAGCGUGGGGAGCAAACAGGAUUAGAUACCCUGGUAGUCCACGCCGUAAACGAUGAGUGCUAAGUGUUAGGGGGUUUCCGCCCCCCUUAGUGCUGCAGCUAACGCAUUAAGCACUCCGCCUGGGAGUACGGCCGCAAGGCUG